RNAcentral lists this ribosomal RNA (1546 nucleotides) under Salmonella enterica. Its description in RNAcentral is "partial 23S ribosomal RNA". It matches the Rfam family "Bacterial large subunit ribosomal RNA", at positions 1273 to 2802 of the family's 2925-position model. RNAcentral also lists the same sequence under 3 other names. The record is from RNAcentral. Lineage: Bacteria; Pseudomonadati; Pseudomonadota; Gammaproteobacteria; Enterobacterales; Enterobacteriaceae.
CUGGAGGUAUCAGAAGUGCGAAUGCUGACAUAAGUAACGAUAAAGCGGGUGAAAAGCCCGCUCGCCGGAAGACCAAGGGUUCCUGUCCAACGUUAAUCGGGGCAGGGUGAGUCGACCCCUAAGGCGAGGCCGAAAGGCGUAGUCGAUGGGAAACGGGUUAAUAUUCCCGUACUUGGUGUUACUGCGAAGGGGGGACGGAGAAGGCUAUGUUGGCCGGGCGACGGUUGUCCCGGUUUAAGCGUGUAGGUGUGUGUUCCAGGUAAAUCCGGUUCACUUUAACACUGAGGCGUGACGACGAGGCACUACGGUGCUGAAGCAACAAAUGCCCUGCUUCCAGGAAAAGCCUCUAAGCAUCAGGUAACAUCAAAUCGUACCCCAAACCGACACAGGUGGUCAGGUAGAGAAUACCAAGGCGCUUGAGAGAACUCGGGUGAAGGAACUAGGCAAAAUGGUGCCGUAACUUCGGGAGAAGGCACGCUGACACGUAGGUGAAGUGAUUUACUCAUGGAGCUGAAGUCAGUCGAAGAUACCAGCUGGCUGCAACUGUUUAUUAAAAACACAGCACUGUGCAAACACGAAAGUGGACGUAUACGGUGUGACGCCUGCCCGGUGCCGGAAGGUUAAUUGAUGGGGUCAGCGCAAGCGAAGCUCCUGAUCGAAGCCCCGGUAAACGGCGGCCGUAACUAUAACGGUCCUAAGGUAGCGAAAUUCCUUGUCGGGUAAGUUCCGACCUGCACGAAUGGCGUAAUGAUGGCCAGGCUGUCUCCACCCGAGACUCAGUGAAAUUGAACUCGCUGUGAAGAUGCAGUGUACCCGCGGCAAGACGGAAAGACCCCGUGAACCUUUACUAUAGCUUGACACUGAACAUUGAGCCUUGAUGUGUAGGAUAGGUGGGAGGCUUUGAAGUGUGGACGCCAGUCUGCAUGGAGCCGACCUUGAAAUACCACCCUUUAAUGUUUGAUGUUCUAACGUGGACCCGUGAUCCGGGUUGCGGACAGUGUCUGGUGGGUAGUUUGACUGGGGCGGUCUCCUCCUAAAGAGUAACGGAGGAGCACGAAGGUUGGCUAAUCCUGGUCGGACAUCAGGAGGUUAGUGCAAUGGCAUAAGCCAGCUUGACUGCGAGCGUGACGGCGCGAGCAGGUGCGAAAGCAGGUCAUAGUGAUCCGGUGGUUCUGAAUGGAAGGGCCAUCGCUCAACGGAUAAAAGGUACUCCGGGGAUAACAGGCUGAUACCGCCCAAGAGUUCAUAUCGACGGCGGUGUUUGGCACCUCGAUGUCGGCUCAUCACAUCCUGGGGCUGAAGUAGGUCCCAAGGGUAUGGCUGUUCGCCAUUUAAAGUGGUACGCGAGCUGGGUUUAGAACGUCGUGAGACAGUUCGGUCCCUAUCUGCCGUGGGCGCUGGAGAACUGAGGGGGGCUGCUCCUAGUACGAGAGGACCGGAGUGGACGCAUCACUGGUGUUCGGGUUGUCAUGCCAAUGGCACUGCCCGGUAGCUAAAUGCGGAAGAGAUAAGUGCUGAAAGCAUCUAAGCACGAAACUUGCCCCGA